GUUUGAUCCUGGCUCAGAACGAACGUUGGCGGCGUGGAUUAGGCAUGCAAGUCGAACGAGAAAGUUCCCUUCGGGGAGCGAGUACAGUGGCGAACGGGUGAGUAUCGAGUGGGUAAUGUGCCUCUUGGCGGGGGACAACAUCUGGAAACAGAUGCUAAUACCGCAUGAGGCCCGACGGGUGUUGGCUCGUCGGGGCAAAGGUGCACUUCGGUGUGCCGCCAGGAGAUCAGCCCAUUCCCGAUUAGCUUGUUGGUGGGGUAACGGCCUACCAAGGCAUUGAUCGGUAGGUGGCCUGAGAGGGUGGUCACCCACACUGGGACUGAGAUACGGCCCAGACUCCUACGGGAGGCAGCAGUCUAGGAGCUUCCACAAUGGACGAAAGUCUGAUGGAGCGACGCCGCGUGCGGGAUUGAAGGCCGGAAGGUUGUAAACCGCUGUCAGCAGGGAAGAAUGCCCCGAUGGUGAAUCGGGGAGCGACGGUACCUGCAGAGGAAGCCCCGGCUAACUCCGUGCCAGCAGCCGCGGUAAUACGGAGGGGGCGAACGUUGUUCGGAAUCACUGGGCGUAAAGGGUGCGUAGGCGGCUUGGUCAGUCUAGUGUUAAAGCCUCUCGCUCAACGAGAGAAAUGCACUGGAUACUGCCGAGCUCGAGGAUGGGAGAGGCAGGUGGAAUUCCUGGUGUAGCGGUGGAAUGCGUAGAUAUCAGGAAGAACACUCGUGGCGAAGGCGGCCUGCUGGCCCAUUUCUGACGCUGAGGCACGAAAGCCAGGGGAGCGAACGGGAUUAGAUACCCCGGUAGUCCUGGCCGUAAACGGUGAACACUAGGUGUCGGGGGUAUCGACCCCUCCGGUGCCGUAGCUAACGCGUUAAGUUUCCGCCUGGGGAGUACGACCGCAAGGUUGAAACUCAAAGGAAUUGACGGGGGCCCGCACAAGCGGUGGAGUAUGUUGUUUAAUUCGAAGCAACGCGAAGAACCUUACCAGGGCUUAAACUGCAGGGUAAACCCUCUGAAAGGAGGGCUGCUUCGGCGAUCCUGUAGAGGUGCUGCAUGGCAGUCGUCAGCUCGUGUCGUGAGAUGUUGGGUUAAUUCCCGCAACGAGCGCAACCCUUGCUUUUAGUUACCAGCGCGUAAUGGCGGGGACUCUAGAGGGACUGCCGCCGUAAGGCGGAGGAAGGUGGGGAUGACGUCAUGUCCUCAUGGCCCUUAUGUCCUGGGCUACAAACGUACUACAAUGGUCGGUACAGAGGGCUGCCACACUGCGAAGUGGAGCGAAUCCCUUAAAGCCGGCCCCGGUUCAGAUUGCAGUCUGCAACUCGACUGCAUGAAGGCGGAAUCGCUAGUAAUCGCGGAUCAGCACGCCGCGGUGAAUACGUUCCCGGGCCUUGUACACACCGCCCGUCAUAUCACGAAAGUU
RNAcentral lists this ribosomal RNA (1414 nucleotides) under metagenome. Its description in RNAcentral is "bacterial SSU rRNA". It matches the Rfam family "Bacterial small subunit ribosomal RNA". The record is from RNAcentral.